RNAcentral lists this ribosomal RNA (253 nucleotides) under uncultured bacterium. RNAcentral's name for it is "partial 16S ribosomal RNA". It matches the Rfam family "Bacterial small subunit ribosomal RNA", at positions 524 to 776 of the family's 1533-position model. The record is from RNAcentral.
UACGUAGGGUGCGAGCGUUGUCCGGAUUUAUUGGGCGUAAAGGGCUCGUAGGCGGCGUGUCGCGUCGGGAGUGGAAGACCGGGGCUUAACCCCGGUUCUGCUUCCGGUACGGGCAUGCUGGAGUGUGGCAGGGGAGACUGGAAUUCCUGGUGUAGCGGUGGAAUGCGCAGAUAUCAGGAGGAACACCGGUGGCGAAGGCGGGUCUCUGGGCCAUUACUGACGCUGAGGAGCGAAAGCGUGGGGAGCGAACAGG